UUUAAAUCACUAUCGAAGGCCGGACGGUGACCAGUAUUUAAUAACUUCUACGUGAUUUAGUCUUUGAUAGGGUUUUGUUUCAUUUAGCUAUCAUGCCAGAUCUUUUUAUUUUCAUAGAACCUUAUUGAACUUUUCAUCCGGCUGGUACUUAUUGUAAAGGAUGUACUUUGACAUAAUAUGAUGUUGAUAAGUGUAUUCUAAUAUAUCCUUAUU
RNAcentral lists this long non-coding RNA (213 nucleotides) under Mytilus galloprovincialis (Mediterranean mussel). Lineage: Eukaryota; Metazoa; Mollusca; Bivalvia; Mytilida; Mytilidae. The record is from RNAcentral.